This 468-nucleotide ribosomal RNA is filed under the name uncultured bacterium. RNAcentral's name for it is "bacterial SSU rRNA". It matches the Rfam family "Bacterial small subunit ribosomal RNA", at positions 30 to 506 of the family's 1533-position model. The record is from RNAcentral.
GCGAACGUUGGCGGCGUGGAUUAGGCAUGCAAGUCGAACGAAGACGGGGUAGCAAUAUCCCGGACUGAGUGGCGAAAGGGGCAGUAAAGCGUGGGCAACCUACCCCCGGGACGGGGAUAGCCUUCCUAUCGGGAGGGUAAUACCCGGCGACGUAGCGAAGGGGCAUCUCUUUGCUACCAAAUGAAUUUCGCCCGGGGCGGGGCUCACGUGCUAUUAGCUAGUUGGCGGGGUAACGGCCCACCAAGGCAGAGAUGGCUAGCAGGUGUGAGAGCACGACCUGCGCCACUGGCACUGGGACACUGGCCAGACACCUACGGGUGGCUGCAGUCGAGGAUCUUUGGCAAUGGGCGCAAGCCUGACCAAGCGACGCCGCGUGCGCGAUGAAGGCCUUCGGGUUGUAAAGCGCUGUCGAGGGGGAGGAAGCCGCAAGGUUGACCUAUCCCUGGAGGAAGGACGGGCUAAGUUCGU